ACGAUACCCGAAUGGGGAAACCCAGUGCAAUACGUUGCACUAUCGUUAGAUGAAUACAUAGUCUAACGAGGCGAACCGGGGGAACUGAAACAUCUAAGUACCCCGAGGAAAAGAAAUCAACCGAGAUUCCCCCAGUAGCGGCGAGCGAACGGGGAGGAGCCCAGAGUCUGAAUCAGUUUGUGUGUUAGUGGAAGCGUCUGGAAAGUCGCACGGUACAGGGUGAUAGUCCCGUACACCAAAAUGCACAGGCUGUGAACUCGAUGAGUAGGGCGGGACACGUGACAUCCUGUCUGAAUAUGGGGGGACCAUCCUCCAAGGCUAAAUACUCCUGACUGACCGAUAGUGAACCAGUACCGUGAGGGAAAGGCGAAAAGAACCCCGGCGAGGGGAGUGAAAUAGAACCUGAAACCGUGUACGUACAAGCAGUGGGAGCACCUUCGUGGUGUGACUGCGUACCUUUUGUAUAAUGGGUCAGCGACUUAUAUUUUGUAGCAAGGUUAACCGAAUAGGGGAGCCGUAGGGAAACCGAGUCUUAACUGGGCGUCUAGUUGCAAGGUAUAGACCCGAAACCCGGUGAUCUAGCCAUGGGCAGGUUGAAGGUUGGGUAACACUAACUGGAGGACCGAACCGACUAAUGUUGAAAAAUUAGCGGAUGACUUGUGGCUGGGGGUGAAAGGCCAAUCAAACCGGGAGAUAGCUGGUUCUCCCCGAAAGCUAUUUAGGUAGCGCCUCGUGAACUCAUCUUCGGGGGUAGAGCACUGUUUCGGCUAGGGGGCCAUCCCGGCUUACCAAACCGAUGCAAACUCCGAAUACCGAAGAAUGUUAUCACGGGAGACACACGGCGGGUGCUAACGUCCGUCGUGAAGAGGGAAACAACCCAGACCGCCAGCUAAGGUCCCAAAGUCAUGGUUAAGUGGGAAACGAUGUGGGAAGGCACAGACAGCCAGGAUGUUGGCUUAGAAGCAGCCAUCAUUUAAAGAAAGCGUAAUAGCUCACUGGUCGAGUCGGCCUGCGCGGAAGAUGUAACGGGGCUAAACCAUGCACCGAAGCUGCGGCAGCGACGUUGUUGGGUAGGGGAGCGUUCUGUAAGCCGUUGAAGGUGACCUGUGAGGGUUGCUGGAGGUAUCAGAAGUGCGAAUGCUGACAUAAGUAACGAUAAUGCGGGUGAAAAACCCGCACGCCGGAAGACCAAGGGUUCCUGUCCAACGUUAAUCGGGGCAGGGUGAGUCGACCCCUAAGGCGAGGCUGAAAAGCGUAGUCGAUGGGAAACAGGUUAAUAUUCCUGUACUUGGUGUUACUGCGAAGGGGGGACGGAGAAGGCUAGGCUGGCCGGGCGACGGUUGUCCCGGUUUAAGCGUGUAGGGGGAGUGACCAGGUAAAUCCGGUUGCUUAUCAACCCUGAGGCGUGAUGACGAUGCACCACGGUGCAGAAGCAGUUGAUGCCAUGCUUCCAGGAAAAGCCUCUAAGCAUCAGGUAACAUUAAAUCGUACCCCAAACCGACACAGGUGGUCAGGUAGAGAAUACUCAGGCGCUUGAGAGAACUCGGGUGAAGGAACUAGGCAAAAUGGUGCCGUAACUUCGGGAGAAGGCACGCUGGCGUUAGGUGAAAGGACUAGCUCCUGGAGCUGAAGCCAGUCGCAGAUACCAGCUGGCUGCAACUGUUUAAUAAAAACACAGCACUGUGCAAACACGAAAGUGGACGUAUACGGUGUGACGCCUGCCCGGUGCUGGAAGGUUAAUUGAUGGGGUCAGCCGCAAGGGGAAGCUCUUGAUCGAAGCCCCAGUAAACGGCGGCCGUAACUAUAACGGUCCUAAGGUAGCGAAAUUCCUUGUCGGGUAAGUUCCGACCUGCACGAAUGGCGUAAUGAUGGCCAGGCUGUCUCCACCCGAGACUCAGUGAAAUUGAACUCGCUGUGAAGAUGCAGUGUACCCGCGGCAAGACGGAAAGACCCCGUGAACCUUUACUAUAGCUUGACACUGAACAUUGAGCCUUGAUGUGUAGGAUAGGUGGGAGGCCUUGAAGUGUGGACGCCAGUCUGCAUGGAGCCAACCUUGAAAUACCACCCUUUAAUGUUUGAUGUUCUAACUCGGCCCCAUGAUCUGGGGUGAGGACAGUGUCUGGUGGGUAGUUUGACUGGGGCGGUCUCCUCCCAAAGAGUAACGGAGGAGCACGAAGGUUAGCUAAUCACGGUCGGACAUCGUGAGGUUAGUGCAAAGGCAUAAGCUAGCUUGACUGCGAGAGUGACGGCUCGAGCAGGUACGAAAGUAGGUCUUAGUGAUCCGGUGGUUCUGAAUGGAAGGGCCAUCGCUCAACGGAUAAAAGGUACUCCGGGGAUAACAGGCUGAUACCGCCCAAGAGUUCAUAUCGACGGCGGUGUUUGGCACCUCGAUGUCGGCUCAUCACAUCCUGGGGCUGAAGUAGGUCCCAAGGGUAUGGCUGUUCGCCAUUUAAAGUGGUACGCGAGCUGGGUUUAGAACGUCGUGAGACAGUUCGGUCCCUAUCUGCCGUGGGCGUUGGAAGAUUGAGAGGGGCUGCUCCUAGUACGAGAGGACCGGAGUGGACGAAUCACUGGUGUUCGGGUUGUCAUGCCAAUGGCAUUGCCCGGUAGCUAAAUUCGGAAGAGAUAACCGCUGAAAGCAUCUAAGCGGGAAACUUGCCUCGAGAUGAGUCUUCCCUGGGGCUUAAAGCCCCCUGAAGGAACGUUAAAGACUAUGACGUUGAUAGGCUGGGUGUGUAAGUGCAGCGAUGUAUUGAGCUAACCAGUACUAAUGAUCCGUGAGGCUUAACC
This 2790-nucleotide ribosomal RNA is filed under the name Yersinia pestis. RNAcentral's name for it is "bacterial LSU rRNA". It matches the Rfam family "Bacterial large subunit ribosomal RNA". The record is from RNAcentral. Lineage: Bacteria; Pseudomonadati; Pseudomonadota; Gammaproteobacteria; Enterobacterales; Yersiniaceae.